GCUCAGGCAGCUUCUAUUGGCCUGCUGAUUUCUCUUUCCCUCCCACAGCCCUGUCCUAGACAGAGUAGAGUCUUGGCAACUUCAGUCCAAUGGAGAAGCAGAGAGCUGUUUUUCCUGGAUACCACACUCCAGGUCUGUCGCACAGACUCAAGACAGACACAGUGAGAGGGAGGUCGCGAGGUUUGGACUAUGGGUGUCUAUGCAAGUUAUUUCCACAAGAGCGAAGGACAAAUGCUUAUAGACCUGACAGAUCCUUCUCAGGCAAACUGGAUUACAACACACGCGGAGGCCUGCAAAAUGACGGUCCCAGAGGUGCAGAGAUGCUGGAGCCGAUUCCUCAUGCUGCGGCCGGAUCAGAAGGGAAACGUGUCUCGAGCUCAGCUUGCCAGUGUGACAGAUACAUUUGGCCACAAGUUGCUGGAUCAAGUUCCUCUUGCAGAUGAAGACCGGAUAACAUUCCAAGCCUAUUGUAAUGCUGUGUGCUGGCUGUCGAAGAGCCCUCUGGAAACCAGACUUAAAGGAUUAUUUCAGACCAUAACGUCUGGCACCAUCGGCAAGGAACAGCUGCAGUCUCUGCUGCAGAACCUGUACCCCAGAGAAGACCCAAAGACCAUUCAGGAACUUGGCACUCUUUACCUCAGUGAAGUGGAUAAAAGCAAUCAAGGUAAUUUGGCAGCUGUUGAGUUAAUUAUUUGCCAUGUAUGGGCGGGACUACCUCAUGAUUAUGACGAACUAGCUGGUGCCAGUCACCACACUGACUCCCCCUGGUUCCCAUUACUGACAUCANNNNNNNNNNCUUGCAUCUGAAGAGGUGAGGUUCUUACCCACGAA
RNAcentral lists this long non-coding RNA (831 nucleotides) under Chrysemys picta bellii (western painted turtle). RNAcentral describes it as "lncRNA (ENSCPBG00000027504.1)". Lineage: Eukaryota; Metazoa; Chordata; Testudines; Emydidae. The record is from RNAcentral.